CACAAUACUGGACAUAACGGAG
Molecule: non-coding RNA, 22 nt
Filed under: Sclerotinia trifoliorum
Lineage: Eukaryota; Fungi; Ascomycota; Leotiomycetes; Helotiales; Sclerotiniaceae
Source: RNAcentral